CGAGUUGGCCGGGCGGCCGCGGCGAUGGGAACCAGCACUUCAGUGUCCAGGCCCACUGCCGAGGAAAGUCCGGACUCCACAGAGCAGGGCGGUUGUUAACGGCAACCCGAGGUGACUCGCGGGACAGUGCCACAGAAAACAGACCGCCCACGGUCGCAGGACCGUGGGUCAGGGUGAAACGGUGCGGUAAGAGCGCACCAGCGCCCCGGGUGACCGGGGUGGCUAGGUAAACCCCGCCCGGAGCAAGGUCAAAGGCUGCACCCGAAAGGUGCGGCUGCGCAGACGUUCGAGGGCUGCUCGCCCAAGUCUGCGGGUGGACCGCAUGAGGUACCCGGCGACGGUGUAUCCAGAUGGAUGGUCGCCACCCCGCGCCUCGGCGCGGGGGACAGGAUCCGGCUUAGAGGCCGACUCGUCCG
This 416-nucleotide RNase P RNA is filed under the name Antrihabitans stalactiti. RNAcentral describes it as "Bacterial RNase P class A". It matches the Rfam family "Bacterial RNase P class A". Rfam says of the family: Ribonuclease P (RNase P) is a ubiquitous endoribonuclease, found in archaea, bacteria and eukarya as well as chloroplasts and mitochondria. Its best characterised activity is the generation of mature 5'-ends of tRNAs by cleaving the 5'-leader elements of precursor-tRNAs. Lineage: Bacteria; Bacillati; Actinomycetota; Actinomycetes; Mycobacteriales; Nocardiaceae. The record is from Rfam by way of RNAcentral.